This 72-nucleotide transfer RNA is filed under the name Sphaerodactylus townsendi. Its description in RNAcentral is "tRNA-Ala". It matches the Rfam family "tRNA". Rfam says of the family: Transfer RNA (tRNA) molecules are approximately 80 nucleotides in length. Their secondary structure includes four short double-helical elements and three loops (D, anti-codon, and T loops). Further hydrogen bonds mediate the characteristic L-shaped molecular structure. tRNAs have two regions of fundamental functional importance: the anti-codon, which is responsible for specific mRNA codon recognition, and the 3' end, to which the tRNAs corresponding amino acid is attached (by aminoacyl-tRNA synthetases). tRNAs cope with the degeneracy of the genetic code in two manners: having more than one tRNA (with a specific anti-codon) for a particular amino acid; and 'wobble' base-pairing, i.e. permitting non-standard base-pairing at the 3rd anti-codon position. Lineage: Eukaryota; Metazoa; Chordata; Lepidosauria; Squamata; Sphaerodactylidae. The record is from RNAcentral.
GGGCACACAGCUGAGUGGUUGAGUAUUUGCUUUGCAUGCAGAAGGCUUCUGGUUCAAUCCCUGAUACCUCCA